UACUGGGGUAUAGCUGUCAUCAGUCAUCAACACACAUGAAACAUUUUUUUUUUACAUAUCUCUCUUAUUCCAAUCUUCGCGAGCUAUCUCAAUCGCAAAUAAAACCCGUCAGGUAGACUCCUUCCUGUUAUUUAACAGUAAAGUGAACGGGUUCGUCAAAUACGCUGACCUUGCUGAUCGAUACAUGGAUCGAUUGAUUGACUGAUUGAUUGAUGGUGUGAUUACUGUCAUUGCAGUUCAGUGCAUCUUAAUUUGAGUAUGCCAUGACCUACAUGUAGUCAUAAGAUAUGUGCUCUCGCCUUAUCAAAGCUAAUAACCAAAUGGCAGGUAUUAAAGUUUCUUUUGAAACAUCGUAACGGACGAUAACUCUCUAGAAUCAAACACGAGAUCCUCAAAGAGCAUACGGCAUCUGCUUAAUGGCGGGAAGGUGAACACAAGCUGUUUAAUAGUUGAAAAUCAUUUGUUUUAAUUUUUCGAGGUAAUGGAAUCGAUUAAACAAUUGGUGGCUGUGUUUUAACGUCGCCACAUGAAAUUACAUUAACUAGUAGCUCGUCAGAGUAAUUUGAGAGGAGCAAAAUCAGUUUAUAGCUAUGGCACGAUAUGCAUAAGAUGUUUGUUAUAGCCUCAUAAUACUUUGCAUUUCCAAGUUUGAAAGAAAGUAAAAUUUCCUGAAAUGGUCCCUCGGUGAAGAAUUUUACGAAGAAAGGUCCCAAGAUUGUGAAACGCGUAAUUUUUCAUCUUCUUUUUCCCAGGAGCGAAGAAAAGGACCUGUCCACCUUCUGUUUUUCCGAUGUGGCAGCAUAAUCUGAUUACUUACCGUACGUCUAAUUCCUCUCUCUUGAUACGUGAUAUAAAUUACAGACUGAUUGAGUUGGUGACAUGAACUUGAUUUAAUUUGUGUUGAACUUUGCUAACUCGCAUAGCCUCAGGUGACCUGGAAAAUCGCCAUUUUUGCAAGAUUGAUUGAUUGUCAUUUGCUGAGUCACUAGGAAAAUAGCUCCUGAAAAUAGGCCGAUGUUUCUCGUCUUUAGUCAAGAGUUUGUAAUCUAUAUAUGAAUGAUAGUAAAUGAGAUUAUUUCUUUGAUUCAACAAUAAUUUAUAAGACUAUUAAUCGCCCCUGGUCAUGCAAUAACGAAUUACAUUUGAAGGAACAUAUUUACAUAGCCAUAUCAUAGCUAUUCAUGCAACUGGCGGAAGGAUAUCAAUCAUUUGUAGGCCAGCGACGUAUUUUGCAAUGGCUACACUAAGAUAUUGAACAGUUGGAAAUAUUUAACGAGAUGAAUCAUUUCCAAUAAGAUGCCUUGUAUAUCGGUUCUUAAGACUACACGAAAGUACGCCUUAUUAUAUCAUUUCAGAUAUAUAAGAUUAACAUAUCAUAUGCCUGAUAACGAAAUCUAUCCCAAUUUUUGUUUCUACGCUAUAUGCAGUUCUCACGUGCUUGCAUGAUGUAUUCAAACAAAGGUCAGCCCUAACGGUUUUUUGUUAUCCAAUUAGGAAUUUCAUCUUUUCUUAAAAAAAUCGCGUUAUCCAAUUAAACAUUUCCUCAUUUACUGCCACGGAUAAGCAGUCUUGAACGGGACCCUCGUGACGGCCAUUCUCUUUAAAAUUGACACCAUUAGUGCUGUCUCUGGAUAUAAGGGAAGGAAUUGACUACUAUGACAAGUGUGCAUAAAACUACACGCAAUCAGCAGUAGGUGCAGUCCUUGCACCCUAUAUAAGAACUUACCACCAAGGUCGUCGUCAAUAAACUAUUUUUUCGCAUCGAGAUAUGUAUUUCCUAGUUAAAAAAAGCAACAACAUAUGCUCUUUUGUCAGUUCUUAUGAGGAGAGCGAAGGAGGCGGUUUAAAAGGUGUUUGCAUCCGAUAAGGCGAAAAAAAAGAACAACCGAGAAAAAGACUUGCAUGUUCUUAGCGAUCCAUCUUUAAUGUGGAUUCCUCUUUUAUCAAGUGGAAGAUAUCUCCGGAUGGGGAAGUAGGCUCAUCAAAAACGUUGAAAUUAAACUUUUUUUUUUUUUUUUUAUCGGUACAUAGUGUGCAUGGAUCGAUCAAUUUAUGUUGUGACUGCUUGGCCCUUGAUUGAGAUUCCACUAUGAUGCGUUUUAUACUCCACUCAGACACAAAAUGACAAUGCCAUAACUUAAAUAAUCACGAGACAUGCGCUCCCUUUUUAUCAAGGAAAAUAAUCAGACGAAUAGGAUUAAGGUUUCUUUUGAAACAACUCAUUGAACGAUAACACUCAAAAAUCAAAACACAAGAUCCUCAAAUAGCUUACAGUAUCUGCUCGAUGCGGAAUGGAUGGAGAUAUGCUGUUUAAGUGAAGUGGCAUUUCAUAAUUGUGUGAAUUAAAUGAGUUGGUUAAACAAUCGGUGGCCUUGCUCAUACGAAGACAAAAGUCUCGCUUAACAUCUUUGAGUGCAUUAUUUACAGAUUGUUUUAAGCGACUUAAAACUUUUGAAUUUCUUUUCAGAGGUAAAAUCAUAAUUUAUGUAUUGUAGUAGUUUAAAAAGCGUGUGCAAGAAAAUUAAUUAUUCCGUUGUCAUAGCGGGAGAUACAUGAGGUGUUAGUAAAUGGCAGAAUACGCUGCAUUUUCAAAGUUGAGGGGAAAGAAAUUUUCCUUGAAGGGCAAACUGGGGGAACAUUUCAAGAAGAAAAGCUCUGAGAUCGUGAAAUGCUUUUAACCAAUUAAUUUUUAUCUUUUUUUGGUUUGUUUUUUCGCUUUCCCUUUCUCUAUUCUAUGCUCUCUUUUAUUUUGUUUUGUUUGUUUGUUUGUUAGUUUGUUUUUUUUUGUGUGUGUGUGUGUACACUUAAAAUAGACCACCCGUUUUGUUUCCAAAUUGGCGACCUAAUCUGAUUUUUGAUGGAAAAUUCCAUCUCAGCGGAAACGAAUUGCAGACUUGUUCAGUUUGUGGCUUCACCUUAAUAAGAAUUGCGUUGAACUUUGCCAACUCACUUUUAAGUGAAUUAAAAUUCAGGCGAGAUCGAAAAGCGAUCACUCUCACGAGAUGUCCGGUUGUCAAUUACUGAGCAACUAGUAAAUCGCUUUUGAAAUCAC
This 3052-nucleotide unclassified non-coding RNA is filed under the name Stylophora pistillata. RNAcentral describes it as "angiopoietin-related protein 7-like, transcript variant X6". Lineage: Eukaryota; Metazoa; Cnidaria; Anthozoa; Scleractinia; Pocilloporidae. The record is from RNAcentral.